Long non-coding RNA from Amblyraja radiata (thorny skate), 263 nucleotides. RefSeq lists it as uncharacterized. The transcript has 3 exons. The record is from RefSeq and is a predicted model, not a curated record. NCBI's taxonomy places the organism in Eukaryota, Metazoa, Chordata, Chondrichthyes, Rajiformes, Rajidae.
UCCAGAUGAAACGACUGUCAGCUAUGGAACCAUUAAUGCCACCACAGAACAACCUACCAAAGCUCCCGAUCAGAUAGACGCGGCCGUGAUCCAAGACAUCGUAAACGAGACCCGAAGCUUCAAGGAGAAAGCAUGCAACAGAUCUGCUGCUGGAGGACCGGACAAGAAGGACACGCAGGCUGCGCUCCCAGACAUUGUAAAGAAGAUUCAAAGCUUCAAGGACAAAGCAUGCAGCAGUUCUGAUGCUGGAAUUGCAAUGGAGG